UUUCUUAUUCAACAGACUAGCUUUUAUUGAUUAAUUUUUUUCAUAAUGGGGUGGGUUGGGAAACUCAUUCCCCAAUGAAGGUGGGGAUGGGGAAUUACCGAUUUGAAUAUUACGGGAUGGGAAUCACCGAUUUGAAUAUUGCAGGUAUGAAGGCAUGAAUAGAGGAAAAAUGCUUAACGAGACAGGGAUUGUACUCACCUCUGAUUCGACCUAUCGCCACCACUCGUUGCUCGCUCUCACACCCUCAAGCCACAUCAUCUGUCUCCAUAUUCAGCUCUCAAUUGGUGCUGCCUUAUCAAAUCGCAGAGCUGCUUGGGGAUAAUUAACUCUAUGUAAGCUUUCUCGGUAUCCAAUUAGGGAUUUUUUGUAAAUUUGAAAUUAGGGUUUUGUGUGAAUUCAAAUUGGGGUUCGGUCAAGGGUUUUCGAAAUUGAAAUUGUGGUUUGUCUCUCUCAGAUAGCCUGAAUUUGUUGGGUCCUGUGAUUUCAAGUAGUGUUGUGUUUUAAAUUGAAUUGGGGUUUCUGUAGAUGGUGAAUUGUGGCGGUUUAGGGUUUAUGUACAUGUCAAAUCUCUGUUUAAUGUUUCCCAAUUUACCUAGAGUAUCCUGGAAAAUGUUGUCACAUUCACAUACACUUGUUUUACUGCAUAGAGUGGGUUACUUUAAAUGGCUAUGUUUUGCUGCAUAGAUUCAUUUCAUGUAUGCAUACAUUUCCUUUUAAAUUAUUUGGUAUGAAGUAGCUGAUUUUAGGUUAUGUUUUUGGUAUGCUUGCUGGUAGUUCUGUUUUUCAUUUGGUAUGCUUGCUGGUAGUUCUAAUUGCAAUUUGUUUUAUUGCCGCUGGGUAUUCUGUUUUAUUGAUUAGUUUCUGUUGCAGAGGUCGUAGAAAGAGUGGCAGUUCUGGCUGAGAUAUAGAGAUUCUAUACUGAUACAUGACCAAAAUAUCAAUUUCACCCCCUUAUUUGUUUUCUUUUCUGGGUUAAGAAGUUUUUCCAAUAUCAACAUGCAACAGGCAAAUCAGAAUUACAGUAGAAAAUAAAUUUGUCUUUACUGAGAGGCCAUAAAAAAUACAGGUGGAUGAAUUGAAGCAAGACCUGGGGGACUUGAAGAAUCUAUCAGAGCAUGUUACCAAACAGAUUGCAAAGCAUGAA
Molecule: non-coding RNA, 1144 nt
Organism: Prunus avium (sweet cherry)
Lineage: Eukaryota; Viridiplantae; Streptophyta; Magnoliopsida; Rosales; Rosaceae
Source: RefSeq, a predicted model, not a curated record